AGGACGAACGCUGGCGGCGUGCUUAACACAUGCAAGUCGAGCGGUAAGGCCCUUUCGGGGGUACACGAGCGGCGAACGGGUGAGUAACACGUGGGUGACCUGCCCUCAGCUCUGGGAUAAGCCCGGGAAACUGGGUCUAAUACCGGAUAUGACCACAUGUCGCAUGGUGUGUGGUGGAAAGUUUUUUCGGCUGGGGAUGGGCCCGCGGCCUAUCAGCUUGUUGGUGGGGUGAUGGCCUACCAAGGCGACGACGGGUA
Molecule: ribosomal RNA, 257 nt
Filed under: uncultured soil bacterium
Lineage: Bacteria
Description: partial 16S ribosomal RNA
Rfam family: Bacterial small subunit ribosomal RNA
Source: RNAcentral